GUGGGGAAUUUUGGACAAUGGGCGCAAGCCUGAUCCAGCAAUGCCGCGUGCAGGAAGAAGGCCUUCGGGUUGUAAACUGCUUUUGUACGGAACGAAACGGUCCUGGUUAAUACCUGGGGCUAAUGACGGUACCGUAAGAAUAAGCACCGGCUAACUACGUGCCAGCAGCCGCGGUAAUACGUAGGGUGCAAGCGUUAAUCGGAAUUACUGGGCGUAAAGCGUGCGCAGGCGGUGCUGUAAGACAGGCGUGAAAUCCCCGGGCUCAACCUGGGAAUUGCGCUUGUGACUGCAGUGCUGGAGUGCGGCAGAGGGGGAUGGAAUUCCGCGUGUAGCAGUGAAAUGCGUAGAUAUGCGGAGGAACACCGAUGGCGAAGGCAAUCCCCUGGGCCUGCACUGACGCUCAUGCACGAAAGCGUGGGGAGCAAACAGGAUUAGAAACCCCUGUAGUCC
RNAcentral lists this ribosomal RNA (450 nucleotides) under uncultured bacterium. RNAcentral describes it as "partial 16S ribosomal RNA". It matches the Rfam family "Bacterial small subunit ribosomal RNA", at positions 354 to 796 of the family's 1533-position model. The record is from RNAcentral.